UGGGGAAUUUUGGACAAUGGGCGAAAGCCUGAUCCCAGCAAUGCCGCGUGUGUGAAGAAGGCCUUCGGGUUGUAAAGCACUUUUGUCCGGAAAGAAAUCCUUGGCUCUAAUACAGUCGGGGGAUGACGGUACCGGAAGAAUAAGCACCGGCUAACACGUGCCAGCAGCCGCGGUAAUACGUAGGGUGCAAGCGUUAAUCGGAAUUACUGGGCGUAAAGCGUGCGCAGGCGGUUUGCUAAGACCGAUGUGAAAUCCCCGGGCUCAACCUGGGAACUGCAUUGGUGACUGGCAGGCUAGAGUAUGGCAGAGGGGGGUAGAAUUCCACGUGUAGCAGUGAAAUGCGUAGAGAUGUGGAGGAAUACCGAUGGCGAAGGCAGCCCCCUGGGCCAAUACUGACGCUCAUGCACGAAAGCGUGGGGAGCAAACAGGAUUAGAUACCCUGGUAGUCCACGCCCUAAACGAUGUCAACUAGUUGUUGGGGAUUCAUUUCCUUAGUAACGUAGCUAACGCGUGAAGUUGACCGCCUGGGGAGUACGGUCGCAAGAUUAAAACUUCAAAUGAAUUGACGGGGUCAUAGCUGUUUCCU
RNAcentral lists this ribosomal RNA (586 nucleotides) under uncultured bacterium. RNAcentral's name for it is "partial 16S ribosomal RNA". It matches the Rfam family "Bacterial small subunit ribosomal RNA", at positions 355 to 1375 of the family's 1533-position model. The record is from RNAcentral.